UCAGAAGAGAGGGCGCUAACCCCUCGUCACUAACUCCCAAAGCUAGCAUUUUAACUAAACUACCUUCUG
This 69-nucleotide transfer RNA is filed under the name Oligosoma grande. RNAcentral's name for it is "tRNA-Pro". The record is from RNAcentral. Lineage: Eukaryota; Metazoa; Chordata; Lepidosauria; Squamata; Scincidae.